UUAAAUCUCUCACCCCCAAUUGGGGAUGAGGAAUUGAGCAAUCCGCUGGCGCUGAAUUGUUUACGCGGUUUAGUGAUUGAUGCGGUUGCUUGAAAUGUAUAGCUUAGCGGUAUUGACCACUGCUUAAGAUGACUAGGCGUAUUAGUUUCCCAUCUGGGAAUCCACUCGUGCGCCGGUGUAUGGUCUCUAAAGCCUUUGUGCUGGUUGAUCGCUUUGCUUACUUAAACGCUCUUUGAGUGUUUACUUAGUUUGGCAUGCAGUUUGCAUAUCGAACUUGA
RNAcentral lists this unclassified non-coding RNA (278 nucleotides) under uncultured Mortierellales. RNAcentral describes it as "sequence contains ITS2". The record is from RNAcentral. Lineage: Eukaryota; Fungi; Mortierellomycota; Mortierellomycetes; Mortierellales.